This 638-nucleotide ribosomal RNA is filed under the name uncultured bacterium. RNAcentral's name for it is "bacterial SSU rRNA". It matches the Rfam family "Bacterial small subunit ribosomal RNA", at positions 86 to 722 of the family's 1533-position model. The record is from RNAcentral.
GGGCGUCGACCGGCGCACGGGUGAGUAACGCGUAUCCAACCUGCCCAUCACUUGGGGAUAACCUUGCGAAAGUAAGACUAAUACCCAAUGACGUCUCUAGAAGACAUCUGAAAGAGAUUAAAGAUUUAUCGGUGAUGGAUGGGGAUGCGUCUGAUUAGCUUGUUGGCGGGGUAACGGCCCACCAAGGCGACGAUCAGUAGGGGUUCUGAGAGGAAGGUCCCCCACAUUGGAACUGAGACACGGUCCAAACUCCUACGGGAGGCAGCAGUGAGGAAUAUUGGUCAAUGGGCGAGAGCCUGAACCAGCCAAGUAGCGUGCAGGAUGACGGCCCUAUGGGUUGUAAACUGCUUUUAUAAGGGAAUAAAGUGAGUCUCGUGAGGCUUUUUGCAUGUACCUUAUGAAUAAGGACCGGCUAAUUCCGUGCCAGCAGCCGCGGUAAUACGGAAGGUCCGGGCGUUAUCCGGGUUUAUUGGGUUUAAAGGGAGCGUAGGCCGGAGAUUAAGCGUGUUGUGAAAUGUAGACGCUCAACGUCUGCACUGCAGCGCGAACUGGUUUCCUUGAGUACGCACAAAGUGGGCGGAAUUCGUGGUGUAGCGGUGAAAUGCUUAGAUAUCACGAAGAACUCCGAUUGCGAAGGC